RNAcentral lists this microRNA precursor (63 nucleotides) under Parasteatoda tepidariorum (common house spider). Its description in RNAcentral is "microRNA pte-mir-277a precursor". Its record names the gene pte-mir-277a. Lineage: Eukaryota; Metazoa; Arthropoda; Arachnida; Araneae; Theridiidae. The record is from miRBase by way of RNAcentral.
CGUUCCAGAAGUGCGUUUACAUUAGUGUCUUAAGAAAUCUGUAAAUGCAUUUUCUGGAAUGUA